This 429-nucleotide ribosomal RNA is filed under the name Bacteroidota bacterium. Its description in RNAcentral is "Bacteroidetes bacterium partial 16S ribosomal RNA". It matches the Rfam family "Bacterial small subunit ribosomal RNA", at positions 355 to 776 of the family's 1533-position model. Lineage: Bacteria; Pseudomonadati; Bacteroidota. The record is from RNAcentral.
CAGGGAAUCUUCCGCAAUGGACGCAAGUCUGACGGAGCAACGCCGCGUGAGUGAAGAAGGAUUUCGGUUCGUAAAACUCUGUUGUUAGAGAAGAACAGCGCAUAGAGUAACUGUUAUGCGUGUGACGGUAUCUAACCAGAAAGCCACGGCUAACUACGUGCCAGCAGCCGCGGUAAUACGUAGGUGGCAAGCGUUGUCCGGAUUUAUUGGGCGUAAAGCGAGCGCAGGCGGUCAAUUAAGUCUGAUGUGAAAGCCCCCGGCUCAACCGGGGAGGGUCGUUGGAAACUGGUUGACUUGAGUGCAGAAGAGGAGGGUGGAAUUCCAGGUGUAGCGGUGAAAUGCGUAGAUAUAUGGAGGAACACCAGUGGCGAAGGCGACUCUCUAGUCUGUAACUGACGCUGAGGCUCGAAAGCGUGGGUAGCAAACAGG